GUCGACCACGGGAGGCAGCAGUGAGGAAUAUUGGUCAAUGGCCGAGAGGCUGAACCAGCCAAGUCGCGUGAGGGAUGACGGCCGUACGGGUUGUAAAUCUCUUUUGUCGGGGAGCAAAGAGAGUCACGUGUGGCUCAUUGAGAGUACCCGAAGAAGAAGCAUCGGCUAACUCCGUGCCAGCAGCCGCGGUAAUACGGAGGAUGCGAGCGUUAUCCGGAUUUAUUGGGUUUAAAGGGUGCGCAGGCGGAGGUGCAAGUCAGUGGUCAAAUUGCGGGGCUCAACCCCGUACUGCCGUUGAAACUGCA
Molecule: ribosomal RNA, 305 nt
Filed under: uncultured bacterium
Lineage: Bacteria
Description: bacterial SSU rRNA
Rfam family: Bacterial small subunit ribosomal RNA
Source: RNAcentral